Molecule: transfer RNA, 74 nt
Filed under: Thermoplasmata archaeon
Lineage: Archaea; Methanobacteriati; Thermoplasmatota; Thermoplasmata
Also listed under: 3 other names
Description: tRNA-Arg
Rfam family: tRNA
About the family: Transfer RNA (tRNA) molecules are approximately 80 nucleotides in length. Their secondary structure includes four short double-helical elements and three loops (D, anti-codon, and T loops).
Source: RNAcentral
GCCCGAGUGGGGUAGCUUGGAUAUCCUGAAAGCCUGCGGAGUUUUCGACCCGGGUUCGAAUCCCGGCUCGGGCA